GAUGCUAUAGUGUAAUGGGUAACACGCUCGUGAUAAAUCGAACUGUAAGCUUAAUGAAAUCACGGGUAAUGGUAGUUCGAGUCUACCUAGCAUUC
This is a non-coding RNA of Stipitochalara longipes BDJ, 95 nucleotides long. The record is from the annotation of a GenBank genome assembly. Lineage: Eukaryota; Fungi; Ascomycota; Leotiomycetes; Helotiales; Hamatocanthoscyphaceae.